CAGUAGCCGCGGUAAUACGAAGGGGGCUAGCGUUGCUCGGAAUUACUGGGCGUAAAGGGAGCGUAGGCGGAUCGUUAAGUUGGGGGUGAAAGCCCGGGGCUCAACCUUGGAACUGCCUUUGAUACUGUUUGUCUUGAGUUCGAGAGAGGUAAGUGGAACUGCGAGUGUAGAGGUGAAAUUCGUAGAUAUUCGCAAGAACACCAGUGGCGAAGGCGGCUUACUGGCUCGAAACUGACGCUGAGGCUCGAAAGCGUGGGGAGCAAACAGGAUUAGAUACCCGUGUAGUCCCUGUCUCUAUACA
RNAcentral lists this ribosomal RNA (301 nucleotides) under uncultured bacterium. RNAcentral's name for it is "partial 16S ribosomal RNA". It matches the Rfam family "Bacterial small subunit ribosomal RNA", at positions 509 to 808 of the family's 1533-position model. The record is from RNAcentral.